GACGAACGCUGGCGGCGUGCUUAACACAUGCAAGUCGAGCGGUAAGGCCCUUUCGGGGGUACACGAGCGGCGAACGGGUGAGUAACACGUGGGUGACCUGCCCUUAGCUCUGGGAUAAGCCUGGGAAACUGGGUCUAAUACCGGAUAUGACUCCAUGACGCAUGUUGUGGGGUGGAAAGCCUUGUGCGGCUAGGGAUGGGCCUGCGGCCUAUCAGCUUGUUGGUGGGGUGAUGGCCACCAAGGCGACGACGGGUAGCCGGCCUGAGAGGGCGACCGGCCACACUGGGACUGAGACACGGCCCAGACUCCUACGGGAGGCAGCAGUGGGGAAUCUUGCGCAAUGGGCGAAAGCCUGACGCAGCGACGCCGCGUGGGGAUGACGGCCUCGGUU
Molecule: ribosomal RNA, 391 nt
Filed under: uncultured bacterium
Lineage: Bacteria
Description: bacterial SSU rRNA
Rfam family: Bacterial small subunit ribosomal RNA
Source: RNAcentral